UUUUUCUUCUCAAUCUCUCUCCCUCGUUCUCAAUCUAUUCAGCCAACCUCCAUCACCACCACUACAUCCAGCCACCACCACCGUAUCUAGAAACCACCACCACCAAAUCCGUCCACCAAGCACACCAAAGACAAACCCGAUGCCAUUUAUGAUACCCUUUCAACUCACAACCAGUCACCACAUGUGAUUGUAUCACCAGAGCUGUUUUUAAAUCUCCUGCAUCUUUGGGUUCGAGGACUGCUCUUAGCAGAACAAGAUUUGGGCUUAGGCGAUGAACAAUUUGAUGUGACCCCAUCCCGAUUCGCCUAAUUUAAGGCCAGCGCAGGAGAUUGGUGAGCCGACUCCUUCAAAUUAGCUUCCAAAUUAACCUGAGACAAAUUUCGAGGUGACGGAUUCGCAGCAGAUUUGAGCCGCAAAUCACCCAUAAGAGGUUCGAUUGGAGCUAAUACUUCAUUCUGUGAUAUCAAAUUAGGAGAUUGACCAUUUGGGGCUUGUUUUUAAUUUUUUCAGUUGAAAAAUAAAUAAAAUUCUAAUUUGACUUUGGCUUCUUGGUUUUGGUUUUGUUUGCAGAAAAUGUCAAAAUUGUUAUCCUAUUUGCUACUUUUGAAUCUGUUCAAAAUCAACAUUUUAGUAAAGUGGGUGUAG
RNAcentral lists this long non-coding RNA (645 nucleotides) under Helianthus annuus (common sunflower). RNAcentral describes it as "hypothetical non coding rna". The record is from RNAcentral. Lineage: Eukaryota; Viridiplantae; Streptophyta; Magnoliopsida; Asterales; Asteraceae.